UCUCCGUAGGUGAACCUGCGGAGGGAUCAUUACAGACUUCUCGCCCCUCCGGGUAGAUCUCCCACCCACGUUGAUUGAUCCUGUGUUGCUUUGUCGCUCCGCCGGGCCCUGCCCGCCCCCCGGCCCCCGCUCGCUCGCGCCCUCCACACGCCCCGCAAACUAUGAAUGUCAGUUUCGUCUCAUUACUAUAUAAUAGUCAAAUCUUUACACUACGGAUCUCUUUGUUCUGGCAUCGAUAGAGAACACCACAGAGCGAAAGCACACACCUCUACACUCCAC
RNAcentral lists this unclassified non-coding RNA (279 nucleotides) under plant metagenome. Its description in RNAcentral is "partial contains small subunit ribosomal RNA, internal transcribed spacer 1, and 5.8S ribosomal RNA". The record is from RNAcentral.